This 485-nucleotide ribosomal RNA is filed under the name Diplocentrus jaca. Its description in RNAcentral is "partial 16S ribosomal RNA". It matches the Rfam family "Archaeal large subunit ribosomal RNA", at positions 1924 to 2669 of the family's 2987-position model. The record is from RNAcentral. Lineage: Eukaryota; Metazoa; Arthropoda; Arachnida; Scorpiones; Diplocentridae.
GGUUUUUAGAAAUUAUUAAAAAUCAAACCUGCUCAAUGCUUAGUAAAUAGCCGCGGUAUCUUGACCGUGCAAAGGUAGCAUAAUCAUUAGCCUUAUAAUUGAAGGCUGGAAUGAAUGGUUUAACUAAAUUAUAUUGUCUCAUAAUUAUACCUUUAACUUUACAUUUUAGUAAAAAGGCUAAAAUAUUUUUUAGGGACAAGAAGACCCUAUUGAGCUUUACAAAAAAAAUUAUUUUUCAUAAAGUAAUUUUAAUUUGUUUUACUGGGGCAGUAAGAAAAUAAAAAUUUUUAUCUAAAUAUUAUGAAUAAUUAUUCUUAUCAAACCAAAAAAUUUUUAAGAAAAAACAAGUUACCGUAGGGAUAACAGCGUAAUUUUUCUCUUGAGAACAUAUCCACAGAAAAGUUUGCGACCUCGAUGUUGGAUUAAGAGCCCUUCUCCACGCAAUAGUGAAAAAAGGAAGUCUGUUCGACUUUUAAAUUCUUCCA